This 546-nucleotide long non-coding RNA is filed under the name Panax ginseng (ginseng). RNAcentral describes it as "long non-coding RNA (PGIN_LNC009622)". The record is from RNAcentral. Lineage: Eukaryota; Viridiplantae; Streptophyta; Magnoliopsida; Apiales; Araliaceae.
UUCUCCUUCUUCUUCUUCUAAUCUUAAGUUCAAAGACCAUGUAGCAUUAAGUAUUAUAAUCUGGCCGUAGAAUAUUUCUCAGAGAUCCGGCGUUUAUGGUCAUUUAUAUUAUUAUAAUAUUAUAUACUAAUAUAUAUCUUGAUCCACAAGCUUAACUACAAGUUUCUUUUUUUUUUCCUCUGUAAAUUUUGUACUGCCGUUUUUUCUCUCUCCAAUCAUCACUCUCUCUCUGUGUGUGUGCUGGGUUGGUGUCGAGAAACCCAUGUUCUUUCUCACUCUAUCUUCCAAGAUUUCAAAUGGGUGUUUCAAGAAAAAGCCAUUAAACUUCACAUUGAGCUCCUCCGCUAAAAUUUGGGUCUCUAAAUCUCCAUGCUCUUGGUGUGUUAAUUGUUAUGCCAAAGAUCCGCCAUGGAAGCUGACCAGAUAAGGCUUAUUGUAGCACUCUCUAUCUCUCUAGUUUCAUUUGUUUCAAGUAUAACAGACCCUAAUGACCUUGCAAUUCUCAACCAGUUUAGUAAAGGUUUGGAGAAUGCAGAGCUCUUGAAG